Molecule: ribosomal RNA, 797 nt
Filed under: uncultured delta proteobacterium
Lineage: Bacteria; Deltaproteobacteria
Description: bacterial SSU rRNA
Rfam family: Bacterial small subunit ribosomal RNA
Source: RNAcentral
CGGUUGGCCGAGUAAAGUGGCGCACGGGUGAGUAACGCGUAGGCAACCUACCCUUGUAUUGGGGAUAACCCCGCGAAAGCGGGGCUAAUACCGGAUAAGACCCGAUUCUGGAGGGAGUUGGGUGAAAGUCGGCCGCUCGGAGAAGCUGACGUACGAGGAUGGGCCUGCGUCCUAUCAGCUAGUUGGUGGGGUAGCGGCCUACCAAGGCGACGACGGGUAGCUGGUCUGAGAGGAUGAUCAGCCACACUGGCACUGGAACACGGGCCAGACUCCUACGGGAGGCAGCAGUGAGGAAUUUUGCGCAAUGGCCGCAAGGCUGACGCAGCAACGCCGCGUGGGUGAUGACGGCCUUCGGGUCGUAAAGCCCUGUCAGGUGGGAAAGAAAAGGUUUCAAGGAGAAACACUUGGGAUUUGACGGUACCACCAGAGGAAGCACCGGCUAACUCCGUGCCAGCAGCCGCGGUAAUACGGAGGGUGCGAGCGUUAUUCGGAAUUACUGGGCGUAAAGCGCGUGUAGGCGGGGAUGCAAGUCUGAUGUGAAAGGCCUGGGCUUAACCUGGGAAGUGCAUUGGAAACUGCAUUUCUUGAGUACUGGAGAGGAAGGGGGAAUUCCCAGGUGUAGAGGUGAAAUUCGUAGAGAUCGGGAGGAAUACCAGUGGCGUAGGCGCCACUUCUGGACGGUUACUGACGCUGAGACGCGAAAGCGUGGGGAGCAAACAGGAUUAGAUACACUGGUAGUCCACAGCUGUAAACGAUGAUCACUAGGUGUAGCGGGUACUCAUUCACUGCUGUGCACG